Molecule: long non-coding RNA, 1240 nt
Organism: Pipistrellus kuhlii (Kuhl's pipistrelle)
Lineage: Eukaryota; Metazoa; Chordata; Mammalia; Chiroptera; Vespertilionidae
Exons: 3
Source: RefSeq, a predicted model, not a curated record
AGGCGGUUAAGAACUCAGAAUGGACAAGGUCGCCUUCAGCGGCAACGGGAAGGAAGGCGUGCAAUUACAAGGACCUGAGCGCCAUGACGUCAAACAGCGCGACGGCAGAGAAAGAUUGUGAGCUACGCGGAAGAGGAACACAGAUAGGUCUCGACCCUUAGUAGUGACGUAUGAGGAGAGGCGUGUCAGCCGGGAGGCGUCCCGUGGUUUCUGGCGCGGGUAACUGGAUGGGUUAUUCGGGUUCCCAAUAAUAUAAACAAAACACAGAGACCGAAACGAGAAGCAUCGCUCUAACUCGUCUUCCCUCUCAAGCCGCCCAGUUACCAAACACUUUGGCGGGGGCUCCACCGACCAAAACAGCCGUAGAAAGCACGACGGCGUCAGGAGGAAAGGAAAUCGGUUUUACGGCAAGCCGUAAAGUAGGGUCGACGGUGAGCUGUAAAGCACGUUCUUUUCCGGUUCACGACAGCAGCCGCGACCGUCUCUGCCGGCCUUCCUCCGUCUGGGCAUUGGUGGAUACCCAUGGAGGCCCUUUAAACUUCUCAUAACAGUGUUCUGGAGCAUCAGUGACUCUGACAGUCAAGGUCCCUGGGAAGUCACUGAGAAAAUGACGAAUAGAAAGAAAAGUGAAGGAGUUGUAAGACUGAAAAGAGAGAUGGGCCAAUGAACUUCUGAGUCACUUGAACAAAAUCAAAUACUAACUAUGAAAAUCAACCAUUAGUCAAACUAAUUGAUUUAUAAAAUGAAUAGUCGUCUCAGAAUCAAAAUAAUGAUAUUAAAUGGCAGAAUAACUGCAUUUGAGGUUAUUGAAAGGGAAGAAAACCUCUGCAGUGACUAAAGUUAAUGGCCUGCUGUGCUCUAAUGUCAACUUCCCCCAUUCAGAAUAUAUACGUAUUUCUCUCUCUCUCUCCUCUCCAUGGGUUAUUCAUAUUCAUAUGACUAUGGGAUUAGUUCACAGAUCACAAUAAAACAAGAUUAUGAUGUGAAUAUUACUCUCAUAUUUUGAAUACUCCCUGAAGUGCUUUUUGGGUAAUUAGAGUGAUUUUUCAUUUAGAAUGGGAAUAUACUGAUUUUAAUAUGAAGGGUUUCUAACAUAUAGCUCCUAAAUGCAUGUUAUCUUUUUACAUUUUUAUAAAGAUGCCCAUUUGAGGCUUCCAAAGCCCAUGGGUAGUUGAAGUUUAUUUCCUAUUCAGCCAAAAACUGCUCUGCAGACACAUGCAGUGCAGCUCCUUAUGGGAAC